CAGCCGCCGCGGGAAUACGAAGGGGGCUAGCGUUGUUCGGAAUUACUGGGCGUAAAGCGCACGUAGGCGGAUAUUUAAGUCAGGGGUGAAAUCCCAGAGCUCAACUCUGGAACUGCCUUUGAUACUGGGUAUCUUGAGUAUGGAAGAGGUGAGUGGAAUUCCGAGUGUAGAGGUGAAAUUCGUAGAUAUUCGGAGGAACACCAGUGGCGAAGGCGGCUCACUGGUCCAUUACUGACGCUGAGGCUCGAAAGCGUGGGGAGCAAACAGGAUUAGAUACCCCGGUAGUCCCUGUCUCUUAUAA
This 301-nucleotide ribosomal RNA is filed under the name uncultured bacterium. RNAcentral describes it as "partial 16S ribosomal RNA". It matches the Rfam family "Bacterial small subunit ribosomal RNA", at positions 509 to 809 of the family's 1533-position model. The record is from RNAcentral.